CUCUUUAAUAUAACUAACCUUUUCCGAUACAAGCACAAGAUAUCCUUGGUAAACAAGUUAUUCAGAACCUCUGUUCCUCUAAAUUCCCUUCGUAUAUAAUUGAAAAACUUCCUCAAAAUCUUUCUUUGUGUUCUAUGUAGAAGUGAUGCCCUGUGACUCUGAACAGUCUAAACACAUGCAACGAACACUUGAAGAAAUGUGACGAUACUUAUGGUAUAGUUGACAGCAUGUCCAAAACCAACCAGUGAGAUUGAAGCACCAGAAAAAUGUAAACCAAUCAAAACACAUUUGGAGGGAAAAGAAUUACU
Molecule: non-coding RNA, 308 nt
Organism: Paramuricea clavata
Lineage: Eukaryota; Metazoa; Cnidaria; Anthozoa; Malacalcyonacea; Plexauridae
Source: the annotation of a GenBank genome assembly